This 255-nucleotide ribosomal RNA is filed under the name Triticum aestivum (bread wheat). RNAcentral describes it as "partial small subunit ribosomal RNA". Lineage: Eukaryota; Viridiplantae; Streptophyta; Magnoliopsida; Poales; Poaceae. The record is from RNAcentral.
AUGAAUGUCCUUGCCUGGAACUGUCGGGGACUGGGGUCGGACAUGAUAGUUAACGAACUUAGGGACCUGAUAUGGUCUUACAACCCUACGCUGGUGUUUUAGAGUCUGACAAAGAAACGGUCCAGAGUAAUGGAAAGGUUGAGAUGGAGUAUGGAUUUUAGACAAGGUGCAACUAUAGAUAUUGUGGGUCAGAGUGGUGGAUUAGCUAUGUGGUGGAGAGAUAAUGUGCAAGUAACUUUGAGGCCAUGGUGUUAG